This 760-nucleotide long non-coding RNA is filed under the name Mus caroli (Ryukyu mouse). RNAcentral describes it as "lncRNA (MGP_CAROLIEiJ_G0006142.1)". The record is from RNAcentral. Lineage: Eukaryota; Metazoa; Chordata; Mammalia; Rodentia; Muridae.
GGCCCAAUUCCCCGGGUGGAAUUUACAAGCGUUUUGCCUUCUCCUCCUGAUCUAACACCAGCUUAGAGAAUUUCUUCAAGCCAGCCUUUCUCUUUAACCCCUGCGGCUCCGGCAGACAGCAGCCCAGCCAUCCUUGCUAAGUUCCUGAGAUUCCCUCCAGGGUCUGGGCUUUUCUCCAGCACGUGGCUCCCUGCUACCAUCCGAGAAGUCCCUGAUGCUGAGGUCUCUGCUGACUUGCCCCGAAGGAUUGCCGACACACGGACAUUUAUGUCUUCCCCACAGGGAAAAACACCCCAUUAGAAGACAGAAGUUUGGUUCCCCCAUAGGAUCUCCAGGGAGCUGCAGUGACACCAGAGGAGGGCUACUGGAAAUGGCACCAGGACAUCGUAUUUGGUAAGACAGGAUCAGGGUAGACACCCAUUCUACAGAGGGAAAACUGAGGCUCUGGACAAAAAAAACCCAGAGGCUUGCCCCACUGGCUUCCCACAGGCUCUAGAUUCUUCCUUCUGUCUCAAUUUCUCAUGGGGCCAGUCAUUCAGCUCACCAGAUUCUCUAUCUGGGACACUGGAGGAUUGUCUGCCCCUGUGUGGUGGGUGCUCAGAGCUGGGGGAGCUCCCAGCCUCUCCAUGGGAAUUCUGGCACGUGCAGCGAAGAUGAUGAUGUGUAGCUGUGAUGUUGAUGAUGUGUGUUUGUUAACAGUUGGACGAUUGUCUACCUCACAAGACAAUAAAUGGCUGCCAGAGGCAGAAACGUCAAAGUC